UACGGGGGGGGUAAGCGUUGUUCGGAAUUACUGGGCGUAAAGAGCUCGUAGGCGGUUUGGCAAGUCGGGUGUGAAAACUCCGGGCUCAACUCGGAGACGCCACUCGAUACUGCCAUGACUCGAGUCCGGUAGGGGAGUGCGGAAUUCCUGGUGUAGCGGUGAAAUGCGCAGAUAUCAGGAGGAACACCGGUGGCGAAGGCGGCUUGCUGGGCCAGUUCUGACGCUGAGGAGCGAAAGCGUGGGGAGCGAACAGG
This 254-nucleotide ribosomal RNA is filed under the name uncultured bacterium. RNAcentral's name for it is "partial 16S ribosomal RNA". It matches the Rfam family "Bacterial small subunit ribosomal RNA", at positions 524 to 776 of the family's 1533-position model. The record is from RNAcentral.